UGGGGAAUAUUGCACAAUGGGGGAAACCCUGAUGCAGCGACGCCGCGUGAACGAAGAAGGUAUUCGUAUCGUAAAGUUCUGUCCUAUGGGAAGAUAAUGACAGUACCAUAGAAGACAGCUCCGGCUAAAUACGUGCCAGCAGCCGCGGUAAUACGUAUGGAGCGAGCGUUGUCCGGAAUUAUUGGGCGUAAAGGGUACGCAGGCGGUUUAAUAAGUCGAAUGUUAAAGAUCGGGGCUCAACCCCGCAAAGCAUUGGAAACUGAUAAACUUGAGUAGUGGAGAGGAAAGUGGAAUUCCUAGUGUAGUGGUGAAAUACGUAGAUAUUAGGAGGAACACCAGUAGCGAAGGCGACUUUCUGGACACAAACUGACGCUGAGGUACGAAAGCGUGGGGAGCAAACAGG
This 403-nucleotide ribosomal RNA is filed under the name bacterium. RNAcentral's name for it is "partial 16S ribosomal RNA". It matches the Rfam family "Bacterial small subunit ribosomal RNA", at positions 355 to 776 of the family's 1533-position model. The record is from RNAcentral.